AUACGGAGGGUGCGAGCGUUGUCCGGAAUCACUGGGCGUAAAGGGCGCGUAGGCGGCCUGAUAAGUAGGGGGUGAAAUCUUGCGGCUCAACCGCAAGGCUGCCUUCUAAACUGUCAGGCUAGAGCACAGUAGAGGCAGGUGGAAUUCCCGGUGUAGCGGUGGAAUGCGUAGAGAUCGGGAAGAACAUCAGUGGCGAAGGCGGCCUGCUGGGCUGUUGCUGACGCUGAGGCGCGACAGCGUGGGGAGCAAACA
Molecule: ribosomal RNA, 252 nt
Filed under: uncultured prokaryote
Description: partial 16S ribosomal RNA
Rfam family: Bacterial small subunit ribosomal RNA
Source: RNAcentral